GACGAACGCUGGCGGCGUGCUUAACACAUGCAAGUCGAACGGAAAGGCCCCUUCGGGGGUACUCGAGUGGCGAACGGGUGAGUAACACGUGGGUGAUCUGCCCUGCACUUCGGGAUAAGCCUGGGAAACUGGGUCUAAUACCGGAUAGGACCACGGGAUGCAUGUCCUGUGGUGGAAAGCUUUUGCGGUGUGGGAUGGGCCCGCGGCCUAUCAGCUUGUUGGUGGGGUGACGGCCUACCAAGGCGACGACGGGUAGCCGGCCUGAGAGGGUGUCCGGCCACACUGGGACUGAGAUACGGCCCAGACUCCUACGGGAGGCAGCAGUGGGGAAUAUUGCACAAUGGGCGCAAGCCUGAUGCAGCGACGCCGCGUGGGGGAUGACGGCCUUCGGGUCGUAAACCUCUUUCAGCAGGGACGAAGCGCAAGUGACGGUACCUGCAGAAGAAGCACCGGCCAACUACGUGCCAGCAGCCGCGGUAAUACGUAGGGUGCGAGCGUUGUCCGGAAUUACUGGGCGUAAAGAGCUCGUAGGUGGUUUGUCGCGUUGUUCGUGAAAACCGGGGGCUUAACCCUCGGCGUGCGGGCGAUACGGGCAGACUGGAGUACUGCAGGGGAGACUGGAAUUCCUGGUGUAGCGGUGGAAUGCGCGGAUAUCAGGAGGAACACCGGUGGCGAAGGCGGGUCUCUGGGCAGUAACUGACGCUGAGGAGCGAAAGCGUGGGGAGCGAACAGGAUUAGAUACCCUGGUAGUCCACGCCGUAAACGGUGGGUACUAGGUGUGGGUUUCCUUCCUUGGGAUCCGUGCCGUAGCUAACGCAUUAAGUACCCCGCCUGGGGAGUACGGCCGCAAGGCUAAAACUCAAAGGAAUUGACGGGGGCCCGCACAAGCGGCGGAGCAUGUGGAUUAAUUCGAUGCAACGCGAAGAACCUUACCUGGGUUUGACAUGCACAGGACGCCGGCAGAGAUGUCGGUUCCCUUGUGGCCUGUGUGCAGGUGGUGCAUGGCUGUCGUCAGCUCGUGUCGUGAGAUGUUGGGUUAAGUCCCGCAACGAGCGCAACCCUUGUCUCAUGUUGCCAGCGGGUAAUGCCGGGGACUCGUGAGAGACUGCCGGGGUCAACUCGGAGGAAGGUGGGGAUGACGUCAAGUCAUCAUGCCCCUUAUGUCCAGGGCUUCACACAUGCUACAAUGGCCGAUACAAAGGGCUGCGAUGCCGCGAGGCUUAGCGAAUCCUUUUAAAGCCGGUCUCAGUUCGGAUCGGGGUCUGCAACUCGACCCCGUGAAGUCGGAGUCGCUAGUAAUCGCAGAUCAGCAACGCUGCGGUGAAUACGUUCCCGGGCCU
RNAcentral lists this ribosomal RNA (1340 nucleotides) under uncultured bacterium. RNAcentral describes it as "bacterial SSU rRNA". It matches the Rfam family "Bacterial small subunit ribosomal RNA", at positions 28 to 1381 of the family's 1533-position model. The record is from RNAcentral.